AACGGGACGAAAUGGCCGAAACAAAUUGUUGCUAAUUAAGUAAUUAUACUUCUAUUCCUGUGAUUUCAAAUACCGAAUUGAACUUCGUAUCUUAUAUGUCAGUCAUCCCAACAAGUUGACUUAGCGCUCAAGCUCAGUCAUUUUCCAUGGUCUAUAGAUCCUCAUUCUGUCAAAAGCCUAAAACUCAUGUUUGAAGCACACACAUAGUGGAAUACAAAUGUGCGGAGAUAAGGUAUUUUCCCAUUACUGCUACCACACCAACCACACCACGUCAGAUGCCUUACUAAAUCAUCACCCAUAUGAUAAAGUGUCAGGAAAUAUAUCUCAACUUGAGGAGUAAUGCUGUUGGUUGCUGUAAUUCCAUUAUUACGGUUUUUCAUCAUGACAUUUCAGUGUGCUUCUUAGAAAAGACGACGCAAGAUCCCCACGGACAUCCUUGAGCCAAUGCUGGAUUUUGUCCAUGACAGAAGAGGGACUUCCACCAACGUUCUGCUCCAUCCUUAUCUUCAAGACUUUCACUCGCUCAUGCGGCUCAUCCAGCUUCACUGCUUCAUAUGCUGCUAGCCUGCUAUACAACUUUUCUUGCUUCACUGGCGAGUUGGAUCACUUCAGUUGCUGUGACAUACCUGCAGUCACUCACCACGGGAUUAUGGCCAGAUAAUGCAGAGGAGACGUCGAGAAGAUGGACACCAAAACAUCGCCGGUAUC
This is a long non-coding RNA of Daphnia pulicaria, 708 nucleotides long. RefSeq lists it as uncharacterized. The record is from RefSeq and is a predicted model, not a curated record. Lineage: Eukaryota; Metazoa; Arthropoda; Branchiopoda; Diplostraca; Daphniidae. The transcript has 5 exons.